GGGGACGUUACGGAUUCGACAGGGGUAGAUCGAGCUCAGGUUGCGCGUCGAGGUUACGGCUCGUAAAACGUUACUCGCCUAAAUAUAACUGGCAAAACUAAUAAUCAACCAGCUUUAGCAGCUGCGUAAGCACUGCUAAGCGAUCCUUCCUGCUAUCGCCCGUGUGGCAGAUAGAAGGGUCUCAAAUGAAGCGGGCUAUACUGUCAUUCGCCGUCUGAGGAUGAUAGUUGAAACCAAUCAGACUAGCUGCCUUUUAAGCCUGUUGGCAGGCCUUUGGGUUAGUGAAUGAUAAUAUACCAACUACACGUGUAGAAGCCUGAGUGGCGAUAUCUCUGGACGUGGGUUCGAUUCCCACCGUCUCCACCA
RNAcentral lists this transfer-messenger RNA (366 nucleotides) under Virgibacillus oceani. It matches the Rfam family "transfer-messenger RNA". From Rfam's summary of the family: Bacterial tmRNA, also known as 10Sa RNA or SsrA, is named for its dual tRNA and mRNA-like properties. Its role is to liberate the mRNA from a stalled ribosome. The record is from Rfam by way of RNAcentral. Lineage: Bacteria; Bacillati; Bacillota; Bacilli; Caryophanales; Bacillaceae. RNAcentral also lists the same sequence under 1 other name.